This 93-nucleotide small nucleolar RNA is filed under the name Suricata suricatta (meerkat). Its description in RNAcentral is "Small nucleolar RNA U3 (ENSSSUG00005000532.1)". It matches the Rfam family "Small nucleolar RNA U3", at positions 100 to 202 of the family's 219-position model. Rfam says of the family: Small nucleolar RNAs (snoRNAs) are involved in the processing and modification of rRNA in the nucleolus. There are two main classes of snoRNAs: the box C/D class, and the box H/ACA class. U3 snoRNA is a member of the box C/D class. Lineage: Eukaryota; Metazoa; Chordata; Mammalia; Carnivora; Herpestidae. The record is from Rfam by way of RNAcentral.
CUGUCCUGAGCGUGAAGCUGGCUCUAGGUGUCAUUUCUGCAAUUACCUUUUGUCAUUGAUGAUUGUUCUCCUGUGGGGGAGUAAGAGGGAGAG